Molecule: transfer RNA, 72 nt
Filed under: Orbicella faveolata
Lineage: Eukaryota; Metazoa; Cnidaria; Anthozoa; Scleractinia; Merulinidae
Description: tRNA-Arg
Rfam family: tRNA
About the family: Transfer RNA (tRNA) molecules are approximately 80 nucleotides in length. Their secondary structure includes four short double-helical elements and three loops (D, anti-codon, and T loops).
Source: RNAcentral
GUCGCGGUGGCCUCAUGGUUAGUGCGCUCGUCUCCGGAUCGAGCGGUCCAGGUUCGAGCCCUGGCUGGGACA